UUAAGAAACCCAAAUCACAGUAGGAUAUGCCCUUUGCCACAGGGUUGGAAAGAUGCGGUUCGGUGAUUUUGAGUAGUCCGUUUUGUGUGUGUGUCCAGGGUGUAAGAAAAUGACUGCGCUUCGAGUCUUCAGGAGGCGCAAAGCCAGAGUGAUCGUGUCAUCUCGGGGCAACUGCGGCCGUGUGUCGACCUUUAGGUCUGGUGAACGGCUGCAGGCAGGGCCGGGAGGCGGUUGUUGGCGGAAGAUAAACACACGGGUCUGGACUGCAAGUUGCUCCUAGCGAGGGGUCGGUGGGGAUGAAAAGGCUUUGGGAAGACGGUGAUCGGAGGUGGUCAAAGGCCAGCGCUUGGGGUUGAGCGGCGAGGGCUGAGCAGGUCAGCGCAUAUGGGGGGUAGGAGGUCGGCGGGGCCCCGCGAGCAGCCCACUGCGGGCGCUUUGCUCCCGGCGGGGCCGCGAGCACCUGGAACCCCGCGGCCGCCUGGCUGCGCCUGACCCUCCGCCGGCGCCGCGCUCAGGCCUGGGCCGGCCCGGGAAUCAGCAGAGCCCUGGUGGCCGCCAGUCUUCUAAAGGCGCCCGGGUAGCGUGCGGGUCCUUGGCCUGAGCAUCCUCUGCUACCCCUCGCCCGGCUCUUCCCUCGUCUUCUCCCCCUCCUCGCUUCGUACCCACCCUGCAUCUACGCGCAUUCGCUCCUUCCUCCUCCGCAGUUUGGUUCCUGCGCGCCCCCUAGGUGCCCCUCCUCCCGCCCCGGGAACAGCCCCGGACCGGAGCGCUGCUGGGCGGUGAUGCUUCCGCCGGCCGCGACGCAGGGUGGGAUGCAGGGAAGAGUCAAGGGGGGCGAACCCCGGCCUUAGGGCGCACGCCGCAAGCUGCGCCCGCGCUUUUCGGCGCCAGAGUCCGCAGGGAUUUUCCGGCUCCCGAGGGCACUCCAAGCAUCUGAAGCAUCUCAGGCUUCAAGCAACCCUCCACUUUUUCGCCAGCAGACACCGGCUCCUGAGUUCCUCAGUCCUCCUCUUCCAGACCCCCACCAGGGCUUUUAACGUCCAGGAAGAUCGGAAAAGAAGGACGCACUGGCCUGCGGAUCUGAACGUAAGCCUUAUUGUGAAAUACAUCAUUAUUAUUAUAAUCAAUAAACUAAACCGUGUGUAGAGGGAGACGCCAGGUGAUGCAAGUUGUUUGGAUUCAGAAAUACGGACACCUGGGUUUUGCUCGAGGCCCUAACGUGCAGCAGUAUGACCUCACAAAAGAGACUCCCCUUUGGAACUUAACAAGUUUUCUUUCCUGUAAAAAGCCAGAGUUGGAAAUCACCUCCCUGGUUUAAAAGGAAACGUACCAACCCGCUUGGGUACCGUGGAGGACGGGCGCCACCUAGCGGGAAGUCCUGAGGGACGCGUGGCGCUCAGAGAAAGAGAGGCAAAAAAGAGGGCUUGAUUUCACAAAACGAAAUGUUUUUGCUCCGAGUUUUAUGUUUCUCAGUUUAACGUUGCCAGUGAUCUAAUAGAGGAGGUGUGCCAUUCUAAAAACUCACCGAGAGACAGUCCGGACCCUCACCGAUGACACAUUUCGCUCACAGGGAUGGGGAAAAGAUUGGGGCCCGGUGAGACCCCUAAGAUCCGCUUUAGAAUCGGGGGCGUUGCAGUGGGGACGGCCCAGAGACGCCCGGCCCAGCGCCUCCUUGAUUUCCCUCUGCUGUCUCCUCAGGCUGCCGCUGGAUGAGGAUUUGGGGUGCAUGAGGCCUGUGUGGCUUGUUGGAACCACAGGAAGGUUCUUCAGUACCUUCAAAUACUAAGUUCUCCAUAAGACUAGUUGGAUUUCAUCCUAACAGUAGAAAGUUCAGGCGUUACAGACAAACCUGUCUUCUUCCUUAGGUUUCAUUUUCUCAUUUGGGUUGUUUGUUCAAAAGGGGAUGGAGGAGGGUUGUGUGGAAUUUUAGGUGCUUGUAAAAUACAAAGAAAGUCUCAAUUUAUUAUAUUUCUCUAAGUAACUAUCGUGGGGACCUUUAUGGGUGUGAUGCCAGGUUCUCUUUGCAAAAUGUUCUGAUUGAUUUCCCCUUCUCUAGUCUCUUUCUUUCACUCAUGUAAUAUUCGACAGGUAUCUUCAGAGUGCUUGCGAUGCCUCAGGUACUGUUGAAGGCACCCUGCAAGGUGCUGCGCUCGACAGACUAACGUUCUAACGCAGGAACGACAUCAAGAAACAAAUGUCUAAACAAAGCAAUGGAGGAAGCGUCAGGUGGGCCAAGUGCCAUGAAGAAAAUGAAAAUACAGUGAGGUGACUGAGGGUGAUCUGGGGCUACUUCAGGUCCUUUGAAAUUUGAAGUGGAAAGAGGAGGAAGAGGUUUUUCAGACCGAGGGAAAAACAUGGGCAAAGGGCAUAUGGCAGAAAGGAUCAUACUUGCUCAAGGACCCAGCAGGAUGUGUCUGUGGCCUGAGUGUGCUGGGGGACGGGCAGAGUGGUCGGUGUUGGGGUCCAAGGGGUACCCAGAGACCAGACAGGGCGGGCCUUUAUAAAGCCACAGUAAGGAGUGUGAGCUUUUUUCUAAGUAUGAGGUGAAGUCAUGGGAAGACUUUAAUAAGCAAAGAGGUAUUUGAAUAUGAUUUACAUCUUAAAAAAGAUUAACAGAUGACCUCUGGCUAUAAAGGUUCUGGGAUGGCAAAAGGAAAAUCCGGGAGACCAGCUAGAAGCCAGUGGGUCCGGGCUGGAGGUGGUGACUUGUGUUAGGUAGUGCUGGACAUGGAGAGAAUGCGGAUUUGGCAUCUGUUUGGAUUGUAUUCUUUUUUUAAAAAAUCAUUUUAAAAAUCAAGAUACAUAACCAAAUUCACCACUUCAACCAUUUUUAAGUAUGCAGUUCAGUGGCAUUAUGGACAUUGACAUUGUUCUGUGGCUGUCACCACCAUCCCUCUGGAACACAUUUUCGUUUUGCAAAACUGGAACUCAUUAAACUCUGCCUAUCAAACGAUCCUCCAUUCUCUGGUAGCCUGCAUCCUGCAUGCAGCUUCCAUUCCCUUGGCUACUCUAAGUACCUUGGAUACGGGGAGUCAUUCAGUGUUUGUGUUUUUGUGACUGGCUUGUUUUACUUGACAUCAUGUCCAUAAGUUUCAUCCACAUGAUAGCAUGUGUCAGAAUUUCCUUCCUUUUUGAGAUUGAAUAAUGUUCCACUUAUGUGUGUACCACAUUUUGUUUAUCCAUUCACCCAUCAGUGGACCCUUGGGUUGCUUGUAAAUUUUCACUACUGUGAAUAAUGCUGCUAUGAGCACGGAUGUACAAACAUCUUCUGGACUCUGCUUGCGAUUAUUUUGGGUAUAUACCUAGAAAUGAAAUUGUUGGACUAUAUGCUGAUUCUGUGUUUAUUUUGUAAGGAAUCUCAGUACUAUUUUCCAUUAUGCCUGCACCAUUUUACAUUCCUAUUCACAUGACACGAAGGUUCUGAUUUCUCCACAUCCCUACCAACAUUCGUUAUUUUCUGCUGUUUCUGUUCUGCUGUUCAUACCUAAUGAUUGUAAAGAGAUAUUUCACUGUAGGUUUAAUUUUCAUUUCCCUAAUGAUUAGUGAUGUUGAUUAUCUUUUCAUAUGCUUAUUAGUCGAUUGUCUAUUUGGAGAUUUAGAGAUAUGUGUAUUCAUGUCCUUUGCCCAUUUUUGAAUUAGUUGUUUGGUUUUUGUUGUUGUGAUUGACUUUUAGUUCUCUAUAUGCUUUAGAUAUUAAUCUAGUAUCAGACAUAUAAUUUGAAAAUAUUAUAUGUCCAAGGCACCCUGCAGGGUGCUACGAUCAUUCUGUGGAUUGUUUGACAGUAUUCUUGAAGGACUUGAUGGAUUGAAUGGAGAGAUGAGGGAAAGGGAGGAAUUCGAGGUACCUCCUGGAGUUGGGUUUGGGUGACUAGCGACCAAAGGAGACUGGGACUCAAGUCACCAGUUCAGUAGACAGAAUCAGGAGAGUUCGAUGCUUGAGAAAGCCCAGAGAAGAGAGAGUGGCCCCAAGGAGGGAACACUGUACUGUGAUCAAAUAACAUGAGACAGGGUUGCGUCCUUUGGGUCUGGCAACAUGGAAAUCAUUAGUCAACUUGGUAAGGACCCGUCUGGCAAUGUGGGAAUGCGUCGGAAAGGAGACCAGGUUGGAGUGAGGUGAGAAGAGCAUGCUAUGGGGAAAAGUGGACAUCGUGGACACAGAUAACUUCUUAAAGAAGUUUGUCCAUGAAAAGGAGAGCAAUGAGGUGGAAGAUGGAGGGACCCUGGGUCCAGAGAUUUAUUUUUAGAUAGAAGAUGCUAGAAUAUGUUUCUAUACUGGUGUAAAUAAUCCAACAGAGAGGGACAGAUGAUAAUGCAGGAGAGAAGAGAAAACCACAGAAGCAAAGUCCUUGAGAAAGUGAGAGGGGUUGGGCUCCAGUGAUCACAAUGACGUGGGCGCUUGUAGGUUGGAUCAAGGUGACUGAUGGUCAAGUAUGAUAUCCAUGGCCAAGUUUACUGAGCACAUACUGUGAGCCAGGUACUGUUCAAGCGUUUGUGCUUAUUACUUCAAGUCUUUCAACAAGUAUGAGAUAAACUAAACAUGGAGAAUGGGGCAGGGGGUGGGGGACAGUGAGAAGUGAGAAGUAGUCAUUUUGGACAAAGUGAAAAGAAGAUACCAGGGUGGUAAGGUGAAACAGCUGAGCAGAGUUGAGUGCGUGUUUAAGAUCAUCCAUGAACAACCGUGUGACCAGUUAACAGAGGUGUACGCUUUACUCCCUUACUCAGGGUGAAAAGUAAAAAACCCAGCAUAAGGCGUGUAACAAGUGGGCUACCCACGGUUGGGGCAUCACUGGGCCAUUAGCAGAACACAAGAGCAUCCAGGGAUUUAAAGCUGGUCUGCAGGGGAAGGUUUAUAAUCCUAGAACCAUGGAAUCUAAGCUGGAUCAGGGGAAAAGUAAUGACAUGAGAAAAAUGAUUGAGUGAUAGAUUUAAGAUACAUGGAUUAAUUACAAGUCCUGGAAGAGUAAAACACUUGCUGGACCAUGAGCAUUUGGGAUAUGAGAUGGAAAGAGGCGUGGUCAUAGAUGUGGGGACUUACUCAAGAUGUCAGCGGUGCUCGGAUUGUUGGGACACCAAGGUCAAGGAUGAUGGCCAUGGGUGGGAGCUUUGAUUGGUGCUCACUGGAGGUGCUGUCCUGCCUUAUUUUCACUGAUGCCUAACACAGCACAUGAUUCCAUGAUUGCUGUUCCUCUGAAACCCCUCCAAGUCUGGCUCCAUGCUGGCUGCCGUGUUCUUCACUGUGG
Long non-coding RNA from Manis javanica (Malayan pangolin), 5240 nucleotides. RefSeq lists it as uncharacterized. NCBI's taxonomy places the organism in Eukaryota, Metazoa, Chordata, Mammalia, Pholidota, Manidae. The record is from RefSeq and is a predicted model, not a curated record.